CCCAGGGUGGAGGUCCUGCACCCCGAAUAUUUGCGUCGCCACAGAUGCGUGGAGAAAGGAGGCCUGUUGGAGGCCUAUGGAAGAAAUUGUGAGAUGAUCCAGGAGAUGUUUCCAGAAAGAAAAUGUGGAGAAGUUGAAGGGCUGUUUGGCGCAGUUUUGUUUAAACAGAGAGGAAAUAGGCUCAGAGCUAUGGAUGUGGGGAAUUGCUGUGACAGACGCUUCGGGAGUUCUAGAUCUCAAACGGCUCCAUCUCCAACUCAUGUGGUCAAUGUAACCCUAAACCUUAUAAUGUCUAAAUUAUUAUGCUGAAAGCGAAAUCGAGUCCUUUCUGGCAGCGGGUGCUGCUUCCCAGUGAGCGCGAAGCCUUGCGAGCGAGCUCAGAGAGAAGCAGGCUGCUGCUUGCGACCACACAGCCAGCUAACAGCGACACUGGAUGCAGACUCGGCGCUCCUCUUGCCACAUUGUCGUUUCUACCACCCAACCUCCAAACCAGGACGCUGAAAAGUCGAAGUCAUUAUGCUUUGUUCCUGGGAUCUGCAGGGACCACAGAGCGCCCAGAGAGAACCGGCUGUAAACACAAAUGACAUGACAAAUGACAGCCCGUUCAUGGUUAUCUCGACCAAGCCUCCUUGGAACUACGUCUGUUUCCAGAUUCAACCUCUUCUCAAGGUGAUGUGGAAAUAGUGACGUUCCCACAGACAAUUGGUGAUGAGCUGGACUGCCAUCCAGGUUUCCUCAUUCCC
RNAcentral lists this long non-coding RNA (743 nucleotides) under Equus asinus (donkey). Its description in RNAcentral is "lncRNA (ENSEASG00005032929.1)". Lineage: Eukaryota; Metazoa; Chordata; Mammalia; Perissodactyla; Equidae. The record is from RNAcentral.